This 522-nucleotide ribosomal RNA is filed under the name uncultured bacterium. RNAcentral describes it as "bacterial SSU rRNA". It matches the Rfam family "Bacterial small subunit ribosomal RNA", at positions 773 to 1299 of the family's 1533-position model. The record is from RNAcentral.
ACGGAAUAGAUACCCGGGUAGUCCACGCUGUAAACGAUGAUUACUCGAUGUUGGCGAUACACAGUCAGCGUCUGAGCGAAAGCAAUAAGUAAUCCACCUGGGGAGUACGAUCGCAAGAUUGAAACUCAAAGGAAUUGACGGGGGCCCGCACAAGCGGAGGAGCAUGUGGUUUAAUUCGAUGAUACGCGAGGAACCUUACCUGGGCUCGAACGUAAGAUGACUGUAGGUGAAAGCUUACAUCUCUUCGGAGCAUUUUACGAGGUGCUGCAUGGUUGUCGUCAGCUCGUGCCGUGAGGUGUCGGGUUAAGUCCCAUAACGAGCGCAACCCCUACCUUUAGUUGCCAACAGGUCAUGCUGGGGACUCUAAAGGAACUGCCUACGCAAGUAGUGAGGAAGGCGGGGAUGACGUCAAAUCAGCACGGCCCUUACGUCCAGGGCUACACACGUGCUACAAUGGCCGAUACAGAGGGCAGCUACCUGGUGACAGGAUGCAAAUCUCCAAAGUCGGUCUCAGUUCGGAUC